CGGGUGAGUAAUGUCUGGGAAACUGCCUGAUGGAGGGGGAUAGCUACUGGAAACGGUAGCUAAUACCGCAUAACGUCGCAAGACCAAAGAGGGGGACCUUAGGGCCUCUUGCCAUCGGAUGUGCCCAGAUGGGAUUAGCUAGUAGGUGGGGUAAUGGCUCACCUAGGCGACGAUCCCUAGCUGGUCUGAGAGGAUGACCAGCCACACUGGAACUGAGACACGGUCCAG
This 228-nucleotide ribosomal RNA is filed under the name uncultured bacterium. RNAcentral's name for it is "partial 16S ribosomal RNA". It matches the Rfam family "Bacterial small subunit ribosomal RNA", at positions 103 to 334 of the family's 1533-position model. The record is from RNAcentral.